RNAcentral lists this ribosomal RNA (421 nucleotides) under uncultured bacterium. RNAcentral's name for it is "bacterial SSU rRNA". It matches the Rfam family "Bacterial small subunit ribosomal RNA", at positions 356 to 774 of the family's 1533-position model. The record is from RNAcentral.
GAGGAAUAUUGGUCAAUGGGUGCAAGCCUGAACCAGCCAUCCCGCGUGAAGGACGACUGCCCUAUGGGUUGUAAACUUCUUUUGUAUAGGGAUAAACCUACCCUCGUGAGGGUAGCUGAAGGUACUAUACGAAUAAGCACCGGCUAACUCCGUGCCAGCAGCCGCGGUAAUACGGAGGGUGCAAGCGUUAUCCGGAUUUAUUGGGCGUAAAGGGCAUGUAGGCGGCUUGGAAAGCCUGGCGUGAAAGUCUGCAGCUUAACUGCAGGGGUGCGCUGGGAACUGCUGAGCUUGAGUGACGGAGAGGGAGCUGGAAUUCCUGGUGUAGGGGUGAAAUCUGUAGAUAUCAGGAAGAACACCGAUGGCGAAGGCAAGCUCCUGGCCGAUGACUGACGCUGAGGUGCGAAAGUGUGGGGAUCAAACA